Molecule: ribosomal RNA, 253 nt
Filed under: uncultured bacterium
Lineage: Bacteria
Description: partial 16S ribosomal RNA
Rfam family: Bacterial small subunit ribosomal RNA
Source: RNAcentral
UACGGAGGGUGCGAGCGUUGUUCGGAAUCACUGGGCGUAAAGCGCGUGUAGGCGGCCUCCCAAGUCUGAUGUGAAAGCCCGGGGCUCACCCCCGGAAGUGCAUUGGAAACUGUGAGGCUCGAGUCCCGGAGAGGAGGGUGGAGUUCCUGGUGUAGCGGUGAAAUGCGUAGAUAUCAGGAGGAACACCGGUGGCGAAGGCGGCCCUCUGGACGGUGACUGACGCUGAGACGCGAAAGCGUGGGGAGCAAACAGG